Molecule: ribosomal RNA, 465 nt
Filed under: uncultured bacterium
Lineage: Bacteria
Description: partial 16S ribosomal RNA
Rfam family: Bacterial small subunit ribosomal RNA
Source: RNAcentral
CUACGGGGUGCUGCAGUGGGGAAUAUUGGACAAUGGGGGAAACCCUGAUCCAGCAAUGCCGCGUGUGUGAAGAAGGCCUGUGGGUUGUAAAGCACUUUCGGUUGGGAGGACUGCUUCUAGCACUAAUAUUGUUGGAAGUUGACGUUACCUUCAGAAGAAGCACCGGCUAACUCCGUGCCAGCAGCCGCGGUAACACGGAGGGUGCAAGCGUUAAUCGGAAGUACUGGGCGUAAAGCGCGCGUAGGCGGCUAGAUCAGUCGGGUGUGAAAGCCCCGGGCUUAACCUGGGAACUGCAUCCGAUACUGUCUAGCUUGAGUACAGGAGAGGAGAGUGGAAUUCCACAUGUAGCGGUGAAAUGCGUAGAUAUGUGGAGGAACACCAAUGGCGAAGGCAGCUCUCUGGCCUGAUACUGACGCUGAGGUGCGAAAGCGUGGGGAGCAAACAGGAUUAGAUACCCCAGUAGUC